RNAcentral lists this transfer RNA (73 nucleotides) under Cordylochernes scorpioides. RNAcentral's name for it is "tRNA-Asn". It matches the Rfam family "tRNA". Rfam says of the family: Transfer RNA (tRNA) molecules are approximately 80 nucleotides in length. Their secondary structure includes four short double-helical elements and three loops (D, anti-codon, and T loops). Further hydrogen bonds mediate the characteristic L-shaped molecular structure. tRNAs have two regions of fundamental functional importance: the anti-codon, which is responsible for specific mRNA codon recognition, and the 3' end, to which the tRNAs corresponding amino acid is attached (by aminoacyl-tRNA synthetases). tRNAs cope with the degeneracy of the genetic code in two manners: having more than one tRNA (with a specific anti-codon) for a particular amino acid; and 'wobble' base-pairing, i.e. permitting non-standard base-pairing at the 3rd anti-codon position. Lineage: Eukaryota; Metazoa; Arthropoda; Arachnida; Pseudoscorpiones; Chernetidae. The record is from RNAcentral.
UCCAGGGUAGCCUAGUGGACAUGGCACCUGCCCGUUAAGCAGAAGGUUGUGGGUUCGAUUCCCGCCCCUGGAC